GCGGGAAUCCAGCCAAUAUAAUUCAGUGCUUGAAACAUGUGGACUUAAAGGAUGUUGCAAGACCCGUUGCGUUUCUAGCCAAAAUGACGGGUCAUGGGCCACUGGUUGUACAACUCCUUGGCAAGGGUCUGCUGAAUCCAAAUUCAAUGAGACGGUUACUUGAUAAUUCUUCACCAAGGGAAGUCAAACUGGAUGUUCUAAUGAUAGUUUCAGAUGUAGCUCGUAUGCAUAAGGAUUUUUAUGAGCACAUAAAGGGAGCAGACAUCUUGGAACACUUGAAAGGCUUUCUUACACAUGAAGAUCCUAAUAUACGUGCUAAGUAGUGCAGUGCUCUAGGAAACAUGUGCCGACAUAACUCCUACUUCUAUAGCUUGUUGUCUUUGACUAAUACUCGGGCAUUUUUUUCUUGGAUUGUUGAGCCUUCAUUAUUAAUCUUGGGGAUAUGAUGGAACGAUGGACAAAUUGUUGUUCAGAUAACACUACGCCGAGUUAUGCCAACUGGGAAAGAGCGAUAUUCUAUGGCGUUGUUUUUGGAUCCUAAUCCUGAUUGUAUUGUUGAGUGUUUGAAAAGCUGCUGCAGCAACUCAUCUCCUCCAAGGUUUCCUCCAAUACAUAGUGGAGACCACCUGAGGGAUCGUAUCAAUGCUGCCUAUUCCUCUUCCUCAUAGAAUGUAUUUGCAGUGGCUAUCUUAAAAGUCUUGAGUUAUUGUAUAAUCAAAGAUAUAACUUUAUAAAAAAUGUUUUAUGUAGUGUGGAUACAAGAUUUUUUACUACCCCAAUGAUUUUAGUUCUAGGUGUAACUAAAUGUUCAUUUUUA
Molecule: long non-coding RNA, 817 nt
Organism: Helianthus annuus (common sunflower)
Lineage: Eukaryota; Viridiplantae; Streptophyta; Magnoliopsida; Asterales; Asteraceae
Exons: 6
Source: RefSeq, a predicted model, not a curated record